CAAUAGCCACAGGGUGAUUCAUUCCCUUAUGCUUCUGGGGGCUGUCAGCAUCCACUUCCCCACCAAUGGUUUGGGUGUUGUCUAUUGCCUAGGAAACGGGACUGGUGGUGAUGACCGACCGAGUGAGCCUGAACCACCGGCAGGACGGUGGCCUCUACACCGAUGAGGCUGUCCCCGCUUUCCAGCCCCACACAGGGAGCCUGGUGGCAGCGGCUCCUUCCAGGCACCCCCCCAGAACAGAGAAGAGAAAAAGGACUUUCUUCCCUGAAACAUGGAUUUGGCAUUGUCUCAACAUCAGUGACCCAUCUGGUGAGGAGACACUCAGUGUGAAGGUCCCGGACUCCAUCACCAGCUGGGUGGGUGAGGCCGUGGCCCUGUCCUCCUCUCAGGGCUUAGGCAUCGCCGAGCCCUCCCUGCUGAAGACCUUCAAGCCCUUCUUCGUGGACUUCACGCUCCCCCCUCUCAUCAUCCGUGGGGAGCAGGUCAAGAUCCCACUCAAUGUCUACAACU
This 510-nucleotide small RNA is filed under the name Pongo abelii (Sumatran orangutan). RNAcentral's name for it is "retained intron". Lineage: Eukaryota; Metazoa; Chordata; Mammalia; Primates; Hominidae. The record is from RNAcentral.